CCCCUAGAUGUCCUGGGCCGCACGCGCAAUACAAUGUAAAGUUCAGAAAGCAUAUCCUGUUCCGGAAGGCAAUGGGUAAUCUUUUCAAUAUUUUACGUGUUAGGGAUCGAUCUUUGCAAUUAUAGAUCUUGAACGAGGAAUACCUAGUAAGUGCAGCUCAUCAGGCUGUACUGAUUACGUCCCUGCCCUUUGUACACACCGCCCGUCGCUCUUACCGAUUUCGAGUGGUCCGGUGAAUCUUUUGGAAUUAGAGUGCAAACUCAAACUAAGAUCGAUAAACCUUAUCACUUAGAGGAAGGAGAAGUCGUAACA
RNAcentral lists this ribosomal RNA (312 nucleotides) under uncultured eukaryote. RNAcentral describes it as "partial 18S ribosomal RNA". It matches the Rfam family "Eukaryotic small subunit ribosomal RNA", at positions 1470 to 1796 of the family's 1831-position model. The record is from RNAcentral.